UUCAAGUAAUCCAGGAUAGGCUGUUUUUGUCUGCUCCGGCCUGUCCAGGAAGACUUGCACU
Molecule: microRNA precursor, 61 nt
Organism: Gadus morhua (Atlantic cod)
Lineage: Eukaryota; Metazoa; Chordata; Actinopteri; Gadiformes; Gadidae
Source: Ensembl